CCUACGGGGGGCAGCAGUGAGGAAUAUUGGUCAUUGGACGAAAGUCUGAACCAGCCAUGUCGCGUGCAGGAAGACUGCUCUCUGAGUUGUCAACUUCUUUUAUACGAGAGUAAACGCAUCUACGUGUCUCUUUUUGUAAGUAUCAUAUGAAUAAGGAUCGGCUAACUCCGUGCCAGCAGCCGCGGUAAUACGGAGGAUUCAAGCGUUAUCCGGAUUUAUUGGGUUUAACGGGUGCGUAGGUGGUGUGUUAAGUUAGAGGUGAAAGUCUGAGGCUCAACUACGGAAUUGCAUCUGAAACUGGAAGGCUAGAGUGUAGUAGAGGUAGGCGGAAUGCGUGGUGUAGCGGUGAAAUGCUUAGAGAUCAUGCAGAACACCGAUUGCGAAGGCAGCUUACUAAGCUACAACUGACGGUGAGGCACGAAAGCGUGGGGAGCAAACAGGAUUAGAUACCCGUGUAGUC
This 460-nucleotide ribosomal RNA is filed under the name uncultured bacterium. Its description in RNAcentral is "partial 16S ribosomal RNA". It matches the Rfam family "Bacterial small subunit ribosomal RNA", at positions 338 to 795 of the family's 1533-position model. The record is from RNAcentral.